AAGAACUUACCAGGCCUUGACAUACUCGGCAAAGCGUCUAGAGAUAGAGUGGAGGUUAUCCGGGAUACAGGUGGUGCAUGGUUGUCGUCAGCUCGUGUCGUGAGAUGUUGGGUUAAGUCCCGCAACGAGCGCAACCCUUGUCUUUAGUUACCAUCAUUAAGUUGGGGACUCUAGAGAGACUGCCGGUGAUAAACCGGAGGAAGUGGGGAUGACGUCAAAUCAUCAUGCCCCUUAUGGCCUGGGCUACAAACGUAAUACAAUGGCGUAUACAAAGGGAUGCGAAAGGGCGACCUGGAGCAAAACUCACAAAGUACGUCUCAGUUCAGAUUGGAGUCUGCAACUCGACUCCAUGAAGGCGGAAUCGCUAGUAAUCGCGGAUCAGCAUGCCGCGGUGAAUACGUUCUCGGGGUUU
RNAcentral lists this ribosomal RNA (412 nucleotides) under uncultured Erysipelothrix sp. RNAcentral's name for it is "bacterial SSU rRNA". It matches the Rfam family "Bacterial small subunit ribosomal RNA", at positions 965 to 1382 of the family's 1533-position model. The record is from RNAcentral. Lineage: Bacteria; Bacillati; Bacillota; Erysipelotrichia; Erysipelotrichales; Erysipelotrichaceae.